Molecule: small nuclear RNA, 27 nt
Filed under: Cervus elaphus hippelaphus
Lineage: Eukaryota; Metazoa; Chordata; Mammalia; Artiodactyla; Cervidae
Source: RNAcentral
UGCUCGCUUCGGCAGCACAUAUACUAA